AAGUGAAACUUACAUAUACAUUUCUAUCUCAAAAGGGAGUACAAUCAUCGAAUAUAUAAAGGUUCUCAAUUCUUCAUACAACCAGCCCGUGCCAAGCAUUAGGGCGAGAACCAUUACAAAAACAAAGAGUUAGACCAAGCUAGUCUAUACCAAGCUCUCAUCCUUGCGUGCCUUCCCCUGUUAAGGAAAACAAACUAAAGGGAUGAGCUAAAAGCCCAGUGAGGUUCCGAACACAUAAUCAAAUAAUCAAUCCAUACAUUAAACAUAGAAAAUUAAUAAUUCAAGAAACAUUUAAAAUGGAAAGCGAUAAUAACACAUACAUUAAAAGGAUACGGGCUCACUGGGAGUCAUAAAUUCGUUCGUUCGUUCGUUCUCCUGACAUUUCCCCUUAUUCCUUCAUUCUUUUGAAGAUUGCAUUUUUGUAAGUAAAACCCUCGUUCGUUCUUUCGCUUCAUUCACCCCUUUCCUGGCCUUUGGCUAGGCUCCACCAACCUACAAGGUAAUACUCGAGUAUACCAACGUUCACACCCAGCGUCACCAUAUCGCUCGACCAAGUCCGCUUCUGGAUCGAGUCGAUCGGUAACGAAGGGCAGGGCCCAAUUCAGCCAAACAGCUUACAUUCAUGCGCAACUAGCAUUUAAUCAUUUAAUCAUUGAAAAUUUCACACUUAUUUAUGUCGAGUGCGAUAAAGUACACACUCGCCUAGAAAACUAGUUUUAACAAUCAUUGAAAGCACUUAAUACAUUAUCAAUCAAUAAUAACAAGCCAAUAAAUCAAGGAAAUAUAACAAACAAAGAAACACUCACCUAUGUACGCAAAACAACGUGCCAAAUAUC
This 836-nucleotide long non-coding RNA is filed under the name Coffea arabica (coffee). RNAcentral describes it as "long non-coding RNA (CARA_LNC000150)". Lineage: Eukaryota; Viridiplantae; Streptophyta; Magnoliopsida; Gentianales; Rubiaceae. The record is from RNAcentral.